Molecule: non-coding RNA, 225 nt
Filed under: Bacillota bacterium
Lineage: Bacteria; Bacillati; Bacillota
Description: Firmicutes bacterium T-box sequence
Rfam family: T-box leader
About the family: Uncharged tRNA acts as the effector for transcription antitermination of genes in the T-box leader family. T-boxes are found upstream of many aminoacyl-tRNA synthetase genes and some amino acid biosynthetic genes usually in Gram-positive bacteria.
Source: RNAcentral
GGAAUUGCGCAGAUGAGGACAAGUAGCUUCCCGUCCGCCCGCAAAGAGAGCUGCCGGUCGGUGCGAGGCAGCGGGGCGCGGAGAGCGAAUAUCACCUCGGAGCAGGCGUCUGAAACCGCAGUAGGGCAGCCCGGGUGCGACCGUUACAUCGCGGCAUUUGAGCGGCUGCCGGAACGGCGGCAAGAAGAGUGGUACCGCAGAGUAUGGUUAUGCUUUGUCUCUUUU